This 412-nucleotide ribosomal RNA is filed under the name uncultured microorganism. RNAcentral describes it as "bacterial SSU rRNA". It matches the Rfam family "Archaeal small subunit ribosomal RNA", at positions 329 to 745 of the family's 1478-position model. The record is from RNAcentral.
GUUGCAGCAGGCGCGAAACUUUACAAUGUGCGAAAGCACGAUAAGGGAACUCUGAGUGCCUCCUAAGGAGGCUGUUCAGGUGUCUAAAAGCACCUGAAGGAAGGGCUGGGUAAGACCGGUGCCAGCCGCCGCGGUAACACCGGCAGCCCAAGUGGUAGCCACGUUUAUUGGGUCUAAAGCGUCCGUAGCCGGCUGGGUAAGUUCCUUGGGAAAUUUGGCUGCUUAACAGUCAAGCUUUCAGGGAAUACUGCCCGGCUUGGGACCGGGAGAGGUCAGAGGUACUCCAGGGGGUAGGGGUGAAAUCCAUUAAUCCUUGGGGGACCACCGGUAGCGAAGGCGUCUGACCAGACCGGGUCCGACGGUGAGGGACGAAGGCUAGGGGCGCGAACCGGAUUAGAUACCCCGGGGUAGU